GCGGCCAUAGCUCAGGGGUAGAGCUCCGGCUUCCCAAGCCGGUUACACGGGUUCGAUUCCCGUUGGCCGCU
RNAcentral lists this transfer RNA (71 nucleotides) under bacterium. RNAcentral's name for it is "tRNA-Gly". It matches the Rfam family "tRNA". Rfam says of the family: Transfer RNA (tRNA) molecules are approximately 80 nucleotides in length. The record is from RNAcentral. RNAcentral also lists the same sequence under 3 other names.